UCCAGGAAUAAGGUACACAGGAAGGAAAUCAUGGUGAUGUUACUCACAAUGAAGUAGCCCAGGGAAUAGCUUGUUCAAUUUAGAAAGUGGCUUAAUUUGCUACUAUUGCUAUGAUAAAACACUGAUGAAAAGCAACUUAUGGAGGACAGGUUACACUUCAUGAUUUACUUCUAGUUAUCAGUUAAUUACUGAGAAAUGUCAGGGCCCAAACUGAAGCAGGGUAGGAACCUGGAGGCAAGAAAUGAAGCAGAAACUGUGUAAGAGCUGUGCUUCCUGUCCUGCACCUCAUAUCUUUCUUUGUGUGAUUAAUAGCUCAAGGGUGGCACCAUCCUGGAGAUCUGGGCCCUACAAUUUCCACUGUUAAUCAAGACAACAUCCCAUAGACUUCCCUACACACUAGGACAAUCUGAUGUAGGCAUUUCCUCAACUAAGAUCCCUCUUCUCACCAACUUCUUCUCUUAGACAUUUUUCUAUUUCUUUAAUAAAACACCAGGAGUAAGGCAACUUAUAGAAGUAGAUAUUUAUUUGGGAUUAGAGCGGUAGAGAGAUUACAUUCCUUCAAAGUCAUGAGAGAGAAGCAUGGCUGCAGGAAGGAAGGACAACCAAACAGGAAUCAGAGACCUGGGGGCUCUUAUCUUAGGCAGCAAACACGAAGCACAGAGAGUACACAGCAAAUGGCACCUAGCUUCUGUAAUGUUAACUCUAACCGAUGACAUACUUCCUCCAGGAAAGCCAAGCCACUUAAACCACCCAAAAGGUCUUACAAAGAUGGUAUCAUAUAUUGUGGUGCCUGAGAUUAGACAGGCAUCCCAUUCAAACCAUCACAAUAAAACUCCACCUCUUCCCCAUACUCUGCAAAAAAAUCACCAAUUUGAGAAACCUUUGAACUCAUUAAUUUGAUUCACUCACAGGAAUUCUGGCAGCAAAUCAGUUCUGAAAUGUUGCUUUGCUUUACUAGGUCCUCCAUUCUUUGCAAGAUGUAUGAAAUUUUAACUAUGUUAUGUAUGUUGCAAAAGAGUCUCCAUUUUAGACAGAGACUUCAUUUCACAGGUUGAUAUCGGCUUGUAGUAACUGCUAUUUUCUUCAUCAUUUUAGAUUUCCAUUUUUUAUUGAUUUCAAUUUUAAAGUACUUGAAAUUACAAAGGAUCUUGUUUUUGCCUUGUGGUGUUACAGAUGUCUUUUAUACAAAUCAUGAUUGACAAGAAUGUAGAUGUUUUGGGAGACGAUGACAGUACAAUUUGUAAGGAUAUUCAAAAGAGAUCUGAUGAACUUAAGAUGUCACUAAAUACUGCUGGAUGUGACAAUGGAAAAACUUCAACAUAUAAUGUUCCACAGAGGAACUAUUUGUUACAAAUAGUUUCACUCAUUAUACUUACUUUUAUGUUGUGUAUCAUAUAUAUUUAUCUAUUAUAAUAAAUUUUAAUAAAGUGUAUUAUUGCUUUGACUCCAA
Grammomys surdaster is the source of this 1450-nucleotide long non-coding RNA. RefSeq lists it as uncharacterized. The transcript is spliced from 2 exons. NCBI's taxonomy places the organism in Eukaryota, Metazoa, Chordata, Mammalia, Rodentia, Muridae. The record is from RefSeq and is a predicted model, not a curated record.